GAUCAACGCUGGCGGCGUGCUUAACACAUGCAAGUCGAACGAAGUUUUUCCUUCGGGAGAAACUUAGUGGCGGACGGGUGAGUAACGCGUGGGUAACCUGCCCUGUACAGGGGGACAACAGCUGUAAACGGCUGCUAAUACCGCAUAAGCCCUUAGCACUGCAUGGUGCAUAGGGAAAAGGAGCAAUCCGGUACAGGAUGGACCCGCGUCUGAUUAGCCAGUUGGCAGGGUAACGGCCUACCAAAGCGACGAUCAGUAGCCGAUCUGAGAGGAUGUACGGCCACAUUGGGACUGAGACACGGCCCAGACUCCUACGGGAGGCAGCAGUGGGGAAUAUUGCACAAUGGAGGAAACUCUGAUGCAGCGACGCCGCGUGAGUGAAGAAGUAUUUCGGUAUGUAAAGCUCUAUCAGCAGGGAAGAAAAUGACGGUACCUGACUAAGAAGCACCGGCUAAAUACGU
RNAcentral lists this ribosomal RNA (461 nucleotides) under uncultured bacterium. Its description in RNAcentral is "partial 16S ribosomal RNA". It matches the Rfam family "Bacterial small subunit ribosomal RNA", at positions 28 to 506 of the family's 1533-position model. The record is from RNAcentral.